Molecule: RNA transcript, 6053 nt
Organism: Ctenopharyngodon idella (grass carp)
Lineage: Eukaryota; Metazoa; Chordata; Actinopteri; Cypriniformes; Xenocyprididae
Gene: ccdc15
Gene name: coiled-coil domain containing 15
Exons: 16
Source: RefSeq, a predicted model, not a curated record
AUGUACACACGCACACGUGUGUGAGUCCACGUCGGUGCGUGUUUAUGCGUGUGCGUUGCCCAGCCUCGGAAAGAAUGGCAGGACUCUGAGUUGGGGGACGUGCUCAGAGUGAACAAAUCAUGCUAAUUGUUUUGGGAAGACUGUGAAAGUUAGACCCAAGAUGAAGGCAGAGAAGGAGGCUUUCUCUUGGGCAUCAGCUGCUUUUGCAGCACCUCUCCUCUUGAUCCUUGCAGUUCUGAUUCACUCAGCAGGUGUUCAGGGGGUGAACAUUACCAGUUUGGAGACGCUGAUCAGAGGGACAGUAGGUGGAGAAGCUCUGCUCUCUGUCCGAUACUCAAGCACCAGUCUGGAUCCUCCUGUAAUCAAAUGGCAGCUGAAGAGGGACAAACCUGUUACAGUGGUCCAGUCCAUUGGCACGGAGAUCAUUGGUAACCUGCGGCCGGAAUACAGAGACCGUAUCCUUGUGUUUGAGAAUGGUACACUGCUGCUGCAUAACCUCAGGCUGUCUGAUGAGGGCACUUAUGAAGUAGAGAUCUCCAUCACCGACGACACCUUCACUGGAGAGGGCAGCAUCGAUCUGACGGUGGAUGAGCCAAUUUCUAAGCCACACGUCCACAUGGUCACUUCUACUGUUCUGGAACUGACAGAGAAUUUCACGCUAAACUGCACCCAUGACACGGGUACAAAGACCACCUAUAGCUGGGCAAAAGGUGGCCUUCCAUUACUGAAUGAGACCCGUCUGCUGCUGUCAGCUAACCAGAAGGUCCUGACCAUCACACGCGUACAGGUUGUUGAUGAAGAUGUCUACAGUUGUAUGGUGGAGAACCCUAUUAGUAGCAUGAGAAGUCUGCCAGUCAAACUCACAGUUUACAAAAGGAGCUCCCUUUAUAUCAUACUGUCUACAGUUGGCAUCUUCCUCCUUGUCACCCUUGUAACAGUGUGUGCUUGCUGGAGGCCAUCGAAAAAGUCAAAAAAACAGAAGUCCAAAACUAUUAUACCAAGACCCAUUCCACAAAACCACCACAUCAGGUAUCAUGACGUCAAGCCUGAGGAUGAUGUCAUCCCAAUAAUGACUGAUCAUGAGCGGAGGAAUCCUGUAUCACUUUACAUCUUAAAAGAGAAGGAUUCUCCUCCUGGUGAACCGCCGUCAACAUGUGAAACAUGCACCUCCAUUAGCAGCAGCCCUCCAAGCUACAGCAGCUCAUUACCUCCUCCAUCCGACUCGCUUGAGCCUCCAGCUCGCUCCUCUCGCAGAUACCCUCGCACCUCCACCAAAUCCCCACCGCACCAUCGCCGGAGGAAGGGACACAGUGAGAGCCCACCAGCCCCUUCCUCGCCCCGCAGCCGAGAGUCCGGUCGAGUCUCACAGUCCUCAUCUCCAGCCAGGAAGCCUGAGGAUCCAUCCACCCCUCCACAAGAACCCAGAGGCUCCCCAAAAACAUAGAUAUCGAUGCACUGACCACGUCUGCCGAGCCCACAUGCUGCAAAAAGUCAGAUAAUGACCUGCACAAAUACUUUUGCAUUAAUGUAUGUAAAUAUGUAAAUACACAUAUAUGUGUCUAUGCUACAAAACUAUGCAUUUCAAACUUGUUUAGCUUUAUCAUGUUAAGACACGUUUUAUUUGAAAGCACAUUGUGAAUGCUGAGUUGAUCUAACACUCUAGGUCUCUUCACUGUCAGAGAUGUCACUGGAAUGUGAUUUGGUUGGCUUGGCAAAGCUUUCAAGCUACAUCCACCAUCAGCACAGUCCUUCAGUGUUUUCUGACAUAGUGUUCUCACACAGUUCCAGUAGUCCAGUGGUUCCCAACCUGGGGUCCGCGUCCCGCUUUGCAGGACAUCAGAGUUUGAAAGGGGGUGUGGGAAUUAUACACUCUAAAAAAUGCUGGGUUAAAAACAAACCAAGUUGGGUUGAAAAUGUACUAACCCAGUGGUUGGGUUAAAUGUGCUAGGCAGUUUUAUUUAACCCAACUAUUGUUUAAAAAUUACUAUAUGGCUGGCUUAAAAUUAACCCAAAAUAGGUUGGAAAUAAAAAAUCAGACACAAUUACUAGGCAACAAUAAUAAUCAAAAUGUGAACAUUUAUUAAUAAUCAAUUUAAUAAAUAUUUAUUGUUUAAUUAUUAUUCAUUAAACACAUUAAUUAAUGUUAAUUUCCAACAUAUUUUGGGUUCAUUUUAAGCAAGCAAUACAGUAAUUUUUAAACAAUAGUUGAGUUAAAUAAAACUACCCAGCAGGUUGGACAAACCUUUAUCACAAUCGCUGGGUUUGUCCAUUUUUAACCCAACUUAAGUUGUUUUUAACCCAGCAUUUUUUAUAGUGUAUGCUUUGAGUUCAAAUAGGGAUGUGAAAAAACUACAACAUAACUUGACGAUACUUUGAUGUGUUGUUCUACAGCGUAAAUUACACACCCCCUUGCCGAAAAUAUGAUUUUUAAAGCAGAUAUAUUUAUUUGUUUCUAGUAAGUAACUAAAUAAGACAGUUUGGGGUGUGAGUAUGUGCAGUUUUACGUUGUAGAACAAAACUUCAAAGUAUCGUCAAGUUACAAGCUUUACUUUACUCAUAAAUCGAAAAACCCCACUAUAAAACCCCAUAGGAAAAUCUCGAAAGAACCACUGGCGAAUUAGGUUCUGAUGUCAUACCUGCAGCACUUUAUACCGUAGCACCCAUAGCCACUCUCUAGCAACCAACCAGAAUUCCCAAGCAAUUGCCUAUGAACCACCCCAGCAUCCACCUAGCAAGAUCUGCAUUCAAACUGGCCAAGUAUUCAAUUGUUUAUAAUUGUUGUAAACUUCAGGCAAUGCUUUGUCAAGCCAACAGUGAAUAUUUGUGUUUCCUUUUUUCUUUUUUUUAGUUUUUAUUUCCUCAUUCACUUGAAGAACAUGAACUGGCCUGUUUUUAUUGUGGUGAAUGUUAAUGACAAGUAGCCUAGAGCUGAUCUGUAAAGAAGAUGUUAAAUAAAUAUUGAAAAAGACCUAAAUGCAAACUUUCACAUAUUUGAUAGGAUUUUACGCAGUGUUUCACCCGCUAAUAAUCUGAGCGUUAUGUAAUGGUGUCUCUCUUGCUGAAGUUCAUACUGUUCCUGAAAAGGGAGAGACAAUGUGUGUGCUGAUUCACACAAAAGACACAGUAGGCUCCUUGUUAUGCAUGGGCACGGCCGUUGAGAACAGGCAUUGUAAAGGGAGCAGGCUGAUCUUGUGUUGAUUCAUACCCAUGCAUAAAUGUAUAAGUUGGAGACAGAAACCCAAAUAAGCACAGAGAAUGCUAAUAACUUACCCUGUGGAAAAACAAUGCCUCAAAUAGUUUCAGGCAUGAACAAGUUGUAAAAGACUACAAAGAGAAGCAUAAGUAGGACAUUACAUAACAACAAUGGUUAUUUAGAAUGAUAAAAAUGACUUCCUUUCUUUCUCGUCUGCAUUUAAAAAAAAAAACAAAAAAAAAAAACGUUACAUCUUUGCAGAGAGGCUGUAAAUAAAUAGAUAAAUAAAAACUCGGUUUUAAAUUGAUAGCCUACACAAUAUACAUUAGAUUUAUAAUUUAAAAAAAAAUAGUGGUAUGAAACUGUGUAAAACCACCAUAUUUAAUUUUAGUCGCUUAGGUUAGGUCUUAAGGCUGGGCUUGGCUUGGGGGAAAAGUAGUAUAAUUGGCGUGGAACUAAAACGAGCAUGUAGUCUUUUUCCUAUCGAACCUACAUUUGGGAGCACAUCGGGCGUGACCAAAUCGCUACAGCUUUUGAGCGGCGUUACUUUCGACAAAUAAAAUCUUAACUUUACAAAGCUGUGGCCAAUAGAAUCAUAAAUGGGCGGGUCUAAAGCGGUUGUGAUUCGGUUAGCGUCACUGACAACGGAGUUUUAAUUCUGUCAGUUACAGAAGUAGAAAUAUGAACGUUAUUUGCAUGAGGACAGUAACAACAUAAUGAAUUCCUGUCCUUUAAAAAGACUUAUAUUAAGAAGGUUUGUUUUUGCUUGAAGGGUCAAUGUUGGGCUUGCUAAUAAGGUCUGAACAUCGAAAAGCUGUAAAUGAUAGUUAUACCCAUUCAUAUCUACCAGAUUUUAUACGAAGAUGAAUCAAGCAAGAACAGCUAAGGAAAGGGUUUGCUCUUCGAUAACGCAAAAGAAUGUAUUAAAAGAAAAUAAAAGGAUAACCUCUGGACACAGAAGAAAGACCAAAGAUGUGAGAGUGUUGGCAGAGAGGAACCCGGCUGUGGCGCCUGUGGGUGUUUGGGUGGAGAGUGGAGAUGAGUGUCAGGAACAUCCCGCGGUCCGGGCUUUGCUUACGGAAGAGCUUCUAGAGGAGACCCGACGAGAGAAAGAGGAGAGUUUGCGCCGAUUUCAGGAUGCAGUUCGUAAACGUGUUUCGCAGCAGGCCCUUCUGCGCAAACAACAGCAGCUACUGAAAUCAUAUGAGACAGUUGAAUGUGAGGGUAAAGUAUUGCAACAAACCAGCAAAGCAGCCCAUCGCCUUACACUUCAAACCAAUUUAUUCCCUUCCUGGACACAUGGGGAGCGAGCUAUCUGCAGUCCCAGCUUUGUCAGUGCUCACGGGACAGAGGCCAGUUUUUCCACUCAGCACACGCAUCAUGUCAGUAAAGUCAGGAAGCAGGUGAGACACAGACUAGCUGCUCGUCAAACAGUGCAAGAGGGAGAUGAACUAUCACAGCUACCUGGUGGGAGAUGGAGAAUAUCCCCAGCUAGAAAUAAACCUGAAUCACAUACUUUAAGAGAUCAGAAGGAUUAUACUGAAGGUUCAAAUGAUGGAGGAGAGGAAAACGAGCAGAAUGUUGACACGGAAGAUGAGCUGCUGUUGGGGCAACAUGAUCAACCUUUUCAUUUGCAUCACCACAGAACCAAGACUGUAACUUUUCAGAACGAUAUGGUCUAUGAGCCAGAUCCCAUGGUUUCCUGCACAGGCUUCACAACUGACUACAGAGCUUCCCAAGUGCUUUGGCCUCAUGAGAAUCAGGAGGAGCUGAAGAGGCAGAGGCAGUCUCAGUUCCUCAUGUAUCGACGUCACUUCAUGGACAUUGAGCGAGAGCAAGUGAAGGAGCAUCAAAGGCACAGGAAACAUCUGAAGAGAACUGCAAGGAUUAAGAAUGAAAAAGAACAACUCAGGAAAGCUGAAGAGAAGAAGAUGGAAAUGCAGCGACAGCAGGAGGAAGAAAGAAAAGACAUGGCUGAGAGGGAGUAUUUGAUUUUGGAGCGAUUGAGGCUUGAUGAGGAGGAGGCAGCAGAGAAGGUAGAGCGACGAGAAAGAACAAAAAGGACCAAAGAAAGCAAACGGUACAUUGAGGCAAUACGGGCUCUACUAAAAGAGAAACUGGAGAAGGACAAAGUAGAGCUGCCUCCUCUGUGUUCUUGUGGAGACACUUUCUGGGACAGCCAUCCUGAUACCUGCGCCAACAACUGUAUCUUCUACAACAAUCCAAAAGCGUAUACUCAGGCUCUGCAGUCUGUAUUGCUAAGCUGUGAUCUGAAGGAAGGAGGCCUUGGACAAUAUUCAUCCACCUGGAAGCCAUCCUCUAUGGAUGUCCAUUCUCAAAGGAAGUGAUUGUUUUAAAUCUUUAGAGUCAUUAUUGAAUGUGUUUUAAGACUGGACAGCCUGAAGUGUUAUGUUGUAUUAACUUAAAAGGAUAGUUCACCCAAAAAGGAAAAUUCUGUCAUCAUUUACUCAGCCUCAAGUUGUUCCAAACCUGUAUGAAUUUCUUUCUUCUGCUGAACACAAAAAGAUAUUUUGAAGAAUGUCAAUAACCAAACAGUUGAUGGACCCCAUUGACUUCUAUAGCAUUUUUUUGUUUUCCAUCAACUGUUUGGUUACCCAUACUAUUCAAAAUAACUUAUUUUUUGUUCAGCAGAAGAAAGAUAUUCAUACAGGUUUGGAACAACUUGAGGCUGAGUAAAUGAUGACAGAAUUUUUCUUUUUGGGUGAACUAUCCCUUUAAUGAGUUCAUGGUGUAAUAUUUUUUGUAUUGUACUCAUUGAUGGUUUUAAAUAAACGGACAUACCUUAAUGUGACCAACAUUUUUACCGUUUAAAUAAAACUUACUGAACUGAGAAAUUCAA